GAAUUUAAUAUUUUUGUAUAAAUUGUUUAUAAAAAUUUAUAGAAAAAUAUUUUAUUGGGAGGAUAAUUAAAUUUAAAUAACUUUAGUAUAGAAAUAACAUAGAUUAUUGAUAAUUUAAUGAAUAAAUAAGAUUUAAUAGAGAAUUAAUUACCUUAGGGAUAACAGCAUAAUAUUUUUUAGUAGUUCAUAUAUAAAAAAAUGUUUAU
RNAcentral lists this ribosomal RNA (206 nucleotides) under Hypoponera sp. IT14.01. RNAcentral describes it as "partial large subunit ribosomal RNA". Lineage: Eukaryota; Metazoa; Arthropoda; Insecta; Hymenoptera; Formicidae. The record is from RNAcentral.